RNAcentral lists this ribosomal RNA (398 nucleotides) under uncultured bacterium. RNAcentral describes it as "bacterial SSU rRNA". It matches the Rfam family "Bacterial small subunit ribosomal RNA", at positions 28 to 429 of the family's 1533-position model. The record is from RNAcentral.
GUUGAACGCUGGCGGAAUGCUUUACACAUGCAAGUCGAGCGGCAGCGCGGGGGCAACCCUGGCGGCGAGCGGCGAACGGGUGAGUAAUACAUCGGAACGUGUCCUUGAGUGGGGGAUAGCUCGGCGAAAGCCGGAUUAAUACCGCAUAAGCUCUGAGGAGGAAAGCGGGGGACUGGUAACGGCCUCGCGCUGUUGGAGCGGCCGAUGUCGGAUUAGCUAGUUGGUGGGGUAAAGGCCCACCAAGGCGACGAUCCGUAGCUGGUCUGAGAGGAUGAUCAGCCACACUGGAACUGAGACACGGUCCAGACUCCUACGGGAGGCAGCAGUGGGGAAUUUUGGACAAUGGGGGCAACCCUGAUCCAGCCAUUCCGCGUGAGUGAAGAAGGCCUGGUUGUAAG